RNAcentral lists this ribosomal RNA (424 nucleotides) under uncultured Ruminococcus sp. RNAcentral's name for it is "bacterial SSU rRNA". It matches the Rfam family "Bacterial small subunit ribosomal RNA", at positions 338 to 755 of the family's 1533-position model. The record is from RNAcentral. Lineage: Bacteria; Bacillati; Bacillota; Clostridia; Eubacteriales; Oscillospiraceae.
CCUACGGGGGGCAGCAGUAGGGAAUUUUCGUCAAUGGGGGGAACCCUGAACGAGCAAUGCCGCGUGAGUGAAGACGGUUUUCGGACUGUAAAGCUCUGUUGUAAGAGAAAAACGGCCGACAUAGGGAAUGAUGUCGGAGUGAUGGUAUCUUACCAGAAAGUCACGGCUAACUACGUGCCAGCAGCCGCGGUAAUACGUAGGUGGCGAGCGUUAUCCGGAAUGAUUGGGCGUAAAGGGUGCGUAGGCGGUACGGUAAGUCUGUAGUAAAAGGCGGCAGCUCAACUGUCGUAGGCUAUGGAAACUGUCGAACUAGAGUGCAGAAGAGGGCGAUGGAACUCCAUGUGUAGCGGUAAAAUGCGUAGAUAUAUGGAAGAACACCAAUGGCGAAGGCGGUCGCCUGGUCUGUAACUGACGCUGAAGCACG